This 166-nucleotide small RNA is filed under the name Thalassobaculum litoreum DSM 18839. RNAcentral describes it as "caulobacter sRNA CC2171". The record is from RNAcentral. Lineage: Bacteria; Pseudomonadati; Pseudomonadota; Alphaproteobacteria; Rhodospirillales; Thalassobaculaceae.
AACCAACUGAAAGGAGGUGAUCCGGUGUCUAGUGAUCUUGCGAUGAGGGGCGAGUUCGUGUGUCUCGGCAGGAUGUCGGAGCAACCUUCGGCGGCCAACUGAAGCACAUAAAUCGAGUUCGAGCCUUCAUCGACUCACGGAAAGGCCGCCCCAUCCGGGCGGCCUU